UGGGGAAUUUUGGACAAUGGGGGCAACCCUGAUCCAGCAAUGCCGCGUGAGUGAAGAAGGCCUUCGGGUUGUAAAGCUCUUUUGUCGGGGAAGAAACGGUAUGCCUUAAUACGGUGUGCUAAUGACGGUACCCGAAGAAUAAGCACCGGCUAACUAC
Molecule: ribosomal RNA, 157 nt
Filed under: uncultured bacterium
Lineage: Bacteria
Description: partial 16S ribosomal RNA
Rfam family: Bacterial small subunit ribosomal RNA
Source: RNAcentral